GUAUAUACGUCUCUCUCUCUCUCUCUCUCUCUCUCUCUUCUCCUUCUCUCUCCUUUCUCUCCAUCGACAUCUCACACAAACACACGAGCACCACAAGCGGCAACCACCAGCCACUGCCAAUCGAUUGAUUCCGAGCUUGGCAUUUGAGUCUAAUUCCGAGCCUUGGAUUUAUUCGUUUCAUUUCAACUUUACGAUCUCAAGCAACAAGGAUUCAUAGAGAGACAGGAGCUAAUGAGAAAUGGAUGCGCAAUUUCGUUGGCUUUGAUUGAGGGAUCCAACUUUGGCCAAACAUCUUUGCUGAAAAAA
Non-coding RNA from Camellia sinensis, 306 nucleotides. The record is from RefSeq and is a predicted model, not a curated record. Lineage: Eukaryota; Viridiplantae; Streptophyta; Magnoliopsida; Ericales; Theaceae.